Lineus longissimus is the source of this 458-nucleotide long non-coding RNA. RefSeq lists it as uncharacterized. The record is from RefSeq and is a predicted model, not a curated record. Lineage: Eukaryota; Metazoa; Nemertea; Pilidiophora; Heteronemertea; Lineidae. The transcript has 2 exons.
ACGCGAUUCAGCUCCCAUGUAUUUCACAACUCAUCCGAUUUUUCGCAUUGCCUCGGUGCAGUGCGGCGCAAAAUGACAAAGCAGUGUAUGCCCGGUCGCAAUCGCAAUUACCUUACCCCAAAUUUACAUCCCUUACCGAACACCUGAAUUAUCAUAUCCCGUCUAUCUAGCACAUGCAGGAGAUAAUGUCGAGGAAGGAUUGAAUGAAGAAAUGGAUCUGGAAAAAGGCAAAGAGUUCCUGAAAGUCCGCAAGCGUUAUGGUUGCAAUAACCAUUCCGACUGCGAGGUGGCAAAUGGUGGACCCGGAGGCGAUUGUGUUUUUUGGACCUGUGCACCGGGAAAGUAGUUGUGUUCUCCAAUCCAUCUGCGUACAGGGUUCCAUAUAUAAUUAAACUAUUGAUAUCAUUUGUCUGUAUGAAUGAAGACAUCUUUGGAGCAAUAAAGUGUUCUGUGUGUUA